AAUGAAUUGCCUGAUAAAAAGGAUUA
Molecule: non-coding RNA, 26 nt
Filed under: Anopheles gambiae (African malaria mosquito)
Lineage: Eukaryota; Metazoa; Arthropoda; Insecta; Diptera; Culicidae
Also listed under: 7 other names
Source: RNAcentral